Molecule: ribosomal RNA, 465 nt
Filed under: uncultured bacterium
Lineage: Bacteria
Description: partial 16S ribosomal RNA
Rfam family: Bacterial small subunit ribosomal RNA
Source: RNAcentral
GACGAACGCUGGCGGCGUGCUUAACACAUGCAAGUCGAACGGAAAGGCCAGGAGGGCCGGGUACUCGAGUGGCGAACGGGGGAGUAACACGCGGGUGAUCUGCCCUGCACUUCGGGAUACGCAUGGGAAACUGGGUCUAAUACCGGAUAGGAGCGAUUGGUAGUGUGAUGGUUGGAAAGUUUUUUCGUUGUAGGAUGAGCUCGCGGCCUAUGAGCUUGUUGGUGGGGUACUGGCCUCCCAAGGCGGCGACGGGUAGCCGGCCUGAGAGUCUGGACGGGCAACUUUCCCAUGCGAUCCCUCCCCCCCUCCUCCCUGCCGCAGACCGGGCCCCUCUUUCCACCUCCGCUCAAGCCUGCUGCCGCGCCUCCUCCUCGGGGAUGACGGCCUUCGGGUUGUACACUCCUUUCCCUAGGGACGAAUCUUUUUGUGACGGUACCUACAUAACACGCACCGGCUAACUACGUG